CGUACAGUACGUAGAAAUCGAAAGGACGCCCAGAUGGCUCCCCCAAUAAGUCUACUUCGCGGACUCCCUCUUGAUGUAGUUGCUUAAACAGAGUAUUGCGUGAUACCCCUCUCUUUUUCCUUUCUGCUUCUAGAUCAAUUUCUUCUUCAAUGUCUGUCAUCCCAUCGUCCUCUUCAUCGUUGUAGGCCUCUCCAGAAGUCUGGCCUUCUUC
This 211-nucleotide long non-coding RNA is filed under the name Olea europaea (common olive). RNAcentral describes it as "long non-coding RNA (OEUR_LNC010610)". Lineage: Eukaryota; Viridiplantae; Streptophyta; Magnoliopsida; Lamiales; Oleaceae. The record is from RNAcentral.